GACGAACGCUGGCGGCGUGCUUAACACAUGCAAGUCGAACGAUGACGCCCGAGCUUGCUCGGUCUGAUUAGUGGCGAACGGGUGAGUAACACGUGAGCAACCUGCCCUUCACUCUGGGAUAACCUCGGGAAAUCGGGGCUAAUACCGGAUAUGAGCUCCUGUCGCAUGGCGGGUGUUGGAAAGUUUUUCGGUGAAGGAUGGGCUCGCGGCCUAUCAGUUUGUUGGUGAGGUAGUGGCUCACCAAGGCGAUGACGGGUAGCCGGCCUGAGAGGGCGACCGGCCACACUGGGACUGAGACACGGCCCAGACUCCUACGGGAGGCAGCAGUGGGGAAUAUUGCACAAUGGGCGAAAGCCUGAUGCAGCGACGCCGCGUGAGGGAUGACGGCCUUCGGGUUGUAAACCUCUUUCAGCAGGGAAGAGGCGAAAGUGACGGUACCUGCAGAAGAAGCGCCGGCUAACUACGUG
Molecule: ribosomal RNA, 467 nt
Filed under: uncultured bacterium
Lineage: Bacteria
Description: partial 16S ribosomal RNA
Rfam family: Bacterial small subunit ribosomal RNA
Source: RNAcentral